ACCGGGGGGGGGGGGCGCGGUGAGAAGAAGAGCGACCGCCAAACGGUCCCCGACGUCCGCGCUGUGCACUUCUCUCUCACACAGACAGAAGGGAGACGGCCGGCGCACCCGGCAUAACUGCGCACGCGCACCCGUGUGAGCCCGGAGCCACUUUGGAAGGGCGGUAUAAAAAUUGAAUGAAGAAAGAAAGAAAGAAAGAAAGAAAGAAAGAAAGAAAGAAAGAAAGAAAGAAAGAAGAAAAUGGAGUUGUUUCUGAAUAAAGCUUAGUUAACGAACAUAA
Molecule: long non-coding RNA, 280 nt
Organism: Hemicordylus capensis (graceful crag lizard)
Lineage: Eukaryota; Metazoa; Chordata; Lepidosauria; Squamata; Cordylidae
Exons: 2
Source: RefSeq, a predicted model, not a curated record